AUAUCCCAAUCUGAUUUUCACUUUUUCCCCCUAAUUUCUCUUCCCUCUCUUCCUCGCUUUCGUUCCCCGUAAUACACCACUACCAUUCUUCCUCUCUUCUUCACUCUACAUCAUCCGCUGUUCACUCAACCAUUCACUCAACCAUUCACUCUCCAUCAGUCGUUCAUUCGCUGCCUUACGAGAGCGUUUCUCUCGUCUCCAUUAUCGAAAGGCUCUCGUUGCCUCUCCAUCAUCGAAGGCUCUUGCUGCCUCUCCAUCAUCGAAGGCUCUUGCUGCCUCUCCAUCAUCGAAGGCUCUUGCUGCCUCUCCAUCAUCGAAGGCUCUUGCUGCCUCUCCAUCAUCGAAGGCUCUUGCUGCCUCUCCAUCAUCGAAGGCUCUUGCUGCCUCUCCAUCAUCUCGUUGAACCACAGUUCAAGCAUGUUUGUCUAGGUAGGCUUUGAGAUGAUUGAUGCAAUUGCUGAGUCGUAGGGGAUUCCUAUGAACACUGCCCAUUCCAAAGCCAUUUUCGGAAAAGGGAUAGGAAAAUCUCGAAAUUGACAAUGACUGCUAAAGGAAUACCAGUAUUUUCGGCAGUUUAAGCUCUGACAGAGUGGAUGGUGUUUAGCUCCCUUAGAUUCUUGGGAGGCUUUGCAGCUGCCCUGAUUGAUGAUCCUCUGUGGGUCAUGAACACUGUCCCUAUUGAGGCCGAGUUCAACACCCUCGGUGUCAUAUAUGAACGUGGAUUGAUUGGAACCUACCAAAACUGGUUUAUGGCUGAUCCAUCUACACCUACACGACCACAAAGUGAGGACCAAAGUCAAUCGUCUACCCAACCCAAGUGUAGACGAGCGACUAGGCUAAAAGACUUGACUGUUAGUCGUAAUGUUGAUCAGAAAUUGCCCAUUCAAUUUGAUAUGAGUACAGGAAAAGUUAUUGGAGACAACCGUGCAAGAUUCACUAGCUUUGUGGCCUUACUUGGUAGAAGUAUUGUUAGUAUUCUUACUUGGUAGAAACUUGGCUACACUUAAAUAGUAUAUGUACAUUAAUGUAAUAUUUGGAUUUAAUAUAUAGUUUCAUGUAUAAAUGAUGUAUUAAAUAUUAGACUAUUUAACUUUUGAAAUGAAUUCUAUUUUGUUAGUUUCAAUAAAUUUGUUUAUUUAAAGCUA
Vigna angularis (adzuki bean) is the source of this 1145-nucleotide long non-coding RNA. RefSeq lists it as uncharacterized. NCBI's taxonomy places the organism in Eukaryota, Viridiplantae, Streptophyta, Magnoliopsida, Fabales, Fabaceae. The transcript is spliced from 4 exons. The record is from RefSeq and is a predicted model, not a curated record.